Molecule: unclassified non-coding RNA, 1471 nt
Organism: Vespa mandarinia (Asian giant hornet)
Lineage: Eukaryota; Metazoa; Arthropoda; Insecta; Hymenoptera; Vespidae
Source: RefSeq, a predicted model, not a curated record
GCAUGGGAUAUAUCCAUGUCAAAGCCAGUAGAUAGAAAACGUAGAAAGACGAAGGAAUAACGCGACGGAAUUAAUUUUCGGUUUUGUGAUAUCGUGUAAUAAUAAAGUAUCGUUUAAAGAUAAGUUUGUUAAGUUUAAGGAUUUACUUAGAUCUUCGAGGCCUUUGAAAAAUAAUCCUUCCUUUAAUAAUUGAUCUGAUUGCUUUCGAAGAAAGUACUUUUAACCCGAACAGAAUACCGUGAUUAAUAAUAAUAAAAUUAAUCUGGUUUUGAUGGUUAAUUAUCUUACUUUUUCAUCUUUUUUUCUCUUUUUAUAUAUUUGUUUCUUUGAUUUUUUUUUUUUAUUCACCAAUUUAAAGACUACGGAUUAUCCUUACCGAUAGGAGAGAGAAGAAACGAUUAAUCUUGCUCUCUCUCUCUCUCUCUCUCUUUCUUUUUAUCGAAAGAUUAUCAUUAUUUACGGUUUUCUUAGAAGAAAGAAAGAAAAAAAAAAGAAAAAGAAAAAAAACAGAGAGAAAGAAAUACUAACGCAAUAACAAAAUACUUAAGAUAAUUCUUAAUAAUAAUAAAUUAAAACGGAUAUAAAACCAGAAAGAAAAAGAUGAAUUACCAGAAGUGGAUUCUAACGUUGAAAUGUUUUUUAUUGAUUUACAUUGUAUACGUCGUAAGAGCAGACGAUCAAUUAAAAGAGAAGAAAAAUAUAAUUAAUACGCACGAUAAUAAAAAUCGAGAUAUAGUGAUAGAUUCGAGAAAUGAACUAAUAAUACGGGCACCUGUAAGAAGAAAAAUCAUUUGUGAAUAUGACAGAAGACUGGACGCUUUUGGAAGAUGUAGAAAGAAGUUGUAAAUGAAUAUUAUGAUCGAACAAUCAUUACAAGUGAAUCUUCUAGUAAGAUUUGGAAUAUAAGGGGAUGGCGAUUGUGAAAGGGUAGAGAAAGGAAGAUAAUAAUAACAAUUAAAAAAAAAAAAUAAAAAGAGGACAGAAAAGAAUUGAACAAAAUGACGACGACGACGACGACGACGACGACGACGACGACGACGGAAAGAAAGAAGGAAUGAGAGAGAAAAAAAAAAAGUAAAAAUAAAAAGAAAUACACGUCGGAUCGACUUGAAUCGAAUUGAUAGUCGACGAACUGUUUGCUUAUAGACGGAAGAAACUCAUCGCUCUCUCUCUCUCUCUCUCUCUCUGUUCGUUUCUGCCCAUCGCAUUUCUCUCGUUUAUAUCGUCAAUACCAAAAGUCUGACUAUAUAGAAUGAAGAUAUUCUUGAUUCCGGACAACACGGCGGCGAGAAGAAAGCCAAUCAAGCAAGCCUCGAAAUGCUUCCUUAUCGAUCGAGCUCUUCCUCUCUCUCUCUCUUUAUCUUUCGCUCUAUGAUCACCAUGAUAACAGUAUCAAGGAAUGAAGAUGAUGUUCAAAUUUUAAAAUGGAAAAUCGUCGGAGAGAAAUCAUAAAGAAGAAGAAGCAAUUGAA